ACCAAUUGAUCCAGCAGCGAGGGCUGUUAGAAAGGCUUAACAAGCGUUCGACCCUCUUAUUACCUCCUACUACCUUCUUGAGAAGAGAAGGUCUGGGUUGUGGCCUUUGCUCUGAUUAAUUUCAAAGGUGUUUUAUCAGCUGUAGAGGUCAGGGCUCUGUAGAGGGCAGUAAAGUUCCUUCACACAAAACUUGCUCAUCCAUGUCUUCCAUGGUCCUGCUUUGUUCACUGGUGCACAGACAUGAUGGAACAGAAAGCAGAAAUCCCAAACUUUUUCCACAAUGUUGUCCAAACUAGCACGGUAUGCCGAGGCAUUACAGUAGAUGUCCCAACCUCAGAAAAAUCCAAUCAAAACAUUCAAACCCUUGUCUCACUGACUUGGCUAUUAAAAGUCAGGCAAGCGCCAUCUUCCUGGCAACCGCCAAACUCAGGCAUGUCUAUCUUUGCAAUGGGAACUCAUGUCAUAAAGAUAAACCACAAUGCCAAAUUAUUUUUUCAGAUAAUGAAAAUAUGUCAGACAAUCAUUCUGUAGGUAAGGAACAGGGCUAUCAAAUCACUGUCAUAUUUGAACUGGUCAAACCUGGAUAGUACAACAACAGGAACAACAAGAAAAGGACUGUAAGUCAACAAUUGUGUUUGUCUUUUACAUAUAUUCUUCAGGCCUAACCUUCUUGGCUAAUCCAAUAAAACAGUAAAGUGGUGUUGUUCUACUAAAUCGUUAAAAACAGACUGACUGUUAAAGUUUAGAAGAUUUAUCAUCAAAACAUAUUUGCAACUACAACAAAGAAGCCAACACAGACAGCUCCCCAGCUGUUAGCUAUAAAUGUAUAAAAAUAAAUAGGAACUUCCUGUGACAUACGUGACUAAUGAGAGCAAACACUGUACAAGACACCUUUCGUGUAAAAGCACACUACAUAGUUCACAUAGACGUAGGCAGCGAUUGUACUGUAAAUGUUGUGGGUUCUUAAAAGAUCCAACAAACCAAACAUUUGUUUGAUUUAGACAGUGGGGGUUUACGCAAGUGCUUUUAUAUCCACGAUAACACCACUUAUCUUAAGUAAACAUUUGUCCUGAUAAGAACUAUUACUGGCCAACACAGGCCGUCUGCAGUAUUUUGACAUGAGACAGUUCACAUCAAACAGCUCAUAUCAACUAUCCAAAAUACUGCUUUCUAAAACUGUAACAUGUAAAAGUGAUUCACAACAAAAAAAGAGAACAUACAUUUUUAGAAUAUACAUAUCCAUGGAUCCACUGUACAUAAAAACAGGACAGAAAAUGUAAUAUAUAUAUACACACACACGCCUUUCCCAUUACAAGAACAGAAAUGUUACUUGCUUGGUUCGAGUGUCAUUGGAUAAUGCAUUUGUAAAAUAUUUAUACUGAGUCAACGCAUAAGAGCCACGUGUCACUUCAACUUUAGGGGAAAUUAUACAAAAGGUUAUUUACUCAGAAAUCAGUUAAAAAAAAGAUUAUCAAAAUUAUUAUUUAUUUUGGUUUUGUUUUAUGGUGAAAUUAAAUGAAAUAAAGAACUAUACACAACCACAAACUAAAAGUCAGAAUUCCUUUCAGCAAUUAAAAUGUAAAAAGCAUUUUAAGAUCAUUACUCCUGUCAACACAGUGAGAUAUUUAGAUGCAAAACAGCAUUAGUUAAUAGUUAAGUAUUUAGGCGUGCAAGUUUCAGUUGUUUCCAUCACGUAGAUGUGGAUGAAAAAUGCUACCACCAGUUACAGUUACAAUAAAAAAGGAGAAAUAAAACCCAAUGCCAACUUGACCUGAUUAACUGUUAAGCACUUUGUGUCUCGUAAGUGUAGCUUAAUGCAAUGGUUAAGUGAACUUAUUUGUACUAAUGGACGCCACAAAAACUGCAUCAUAAUUUGAAAAGUACCAGAUUCUGCUUUUUCACAAGGACGUGUUCAUUGCAUUAUUCAGCAUAUUGGCUUUUUGCAUCUUGCCUCAUUUUCUUCUCAAUUGUUUUGAAAUCAUUCAAAGGGAGACAUUACAAAACAAAUGAUGCAGCUCUAAGAAUGAAAACUAGAAGUCUAAGGGAUGGGAGUGGAGCAACAGGAUGCUUACUGUCAAGGAGGGAAAAAGAAAAAAA
Cynoglossus semilaevis (tongue sole) is the source of this 2097-nucleotide long non-coding RNA. RefSeq lists it as uncharacterized. The transcript is spliced from 2 exons. Lineage: Eukaryota; Metazoa; Chordata; Actinopteri; Pleuronectiformes; Cynoglossidae. The record is from RefSeq and is a predicted model, not a curated record.